GCCAGGCGUUGUUCCAGGUUCCGGAACACUGUUCUAGGUGUAUUUCUUAGUAAGAAGGAACUACUUAUUACUGGGAAUAAGCCCCAUCGACGCAUCCAGACCUUCCAGUUAGCUUUUGAGUGAUCAGUCCAGGAUCAUUAGACAUUAAAGUUUUUAACAAGCUCCAGAUUUAAAAACAAAAACAAAAACUAAGAGGAAAUCUGAGGGGAAAAAAAAAAACUGCAGGGAAUAGAGGAACACUUCAAAGAAGCUGUCAUUGAGAUCUGCAGAGAGUUGGAAAGCUUUUCAUCCGUGAAACGAGAACAGGAGGUUAUAAAAAGAAUAUUUCAGAGAUUUUUAAAGAGCUCUUGGAAAUUAGAAAUUUGAUGGCAGCCAUAAAAAUUCAGUAUACGGUUGGAAGAUAAAAGGAGGAAAUUUCCCAGGAAGUAGAAUUUUUUUUUUAAGAAGAGAGAAAAUAAUUAGAAAUUCAAUCCAUGAAGAUCCCCUUCCAACUAAAUCGAUGUUCCAAAAGAGGAGAGAAAUGAUUUUUUAAUUCCAGAAAACUGUUCAGAACCAAAGAACAUGAGUUUCCAGAUUGAGAAGGUGUAUUGAAAGCCAAGUAAAAUGGAUGAAAAAAAAAUCUCAUAGCAAGAUAUAUAAUGAAAUUUCAUUACAGAGAGAAAGGACAUUACAAAGAACAAGGAGAAAUUUGUAAAAACUUUCAGGUAGAGGGAAAUAAUUAUAUUCAAAACAUCGGGAAUUAGAAUGACAGACAUCUCAGUGACAAUAUUGAACCUGGAAGAGCAAUGCAAUCCAAAUUCUAAGGGAAAAGCAUUUCCAACCUUCACACCCCAUCAAACAUCAAACUUGGAAGAUUGUAAACUAAUUUCCCACAUACUCUUUCUCAGAAACUUCUAGAAGUCAUGUUUUACCAGAAAGAGAACAGAAACAAAGACCGAGGAAGAUGUUGGUCUAGAACACAGGAGAAUGUCACAUGGGAAAGAGGCAAAAUCAGUGCCUAGUAGGAUGAAGAAAGGGGAUUCCAGGAUGAUGGGUGGGUGGCAGGCCUCAAAAGCAGCAAAUUCAGAGGGAGAAGGGGAAGGCUUUGAAAAUUAUAUACACGUACUGUUAUGAUAAGGAAGAAAGGAAAACUCGGGUAAUAAUCAGAUUCCAGAAUGAGAACCCAAGCAGAUUCCAAAAUGAGAACCUACUUCUAGAAGGCAGGCAAAGGAACUUGGUGAAACCUCUGGGAAACAGAAGAGUUGAUGAAGAACACAGGGCCGAGCUCUAGGCAGAGCAGCUGAGAGGAGAACUUAACGUCCCAGGAAACGGGCCAGAAUGGGGUCACUCUUUCCCUUCAAAGGAAACAAUUCCUAAUUGUGACCUGCCUGGAUUUACAGAGAUUAGCAGGAAGGGAGGAUUAAAGGGAGCUGUACAGGCCAAGUGCGGUGUCAGGCAAUUUAUAGAAGCAAGAAGGGUUAUUAUAAAGAGGAUACCGACCAGCUGUUCUUCAUCUUCACAGGAGACAGAAGAGGAGCCCUGUGAAGUGGGAAUAGUUAUUAGCCUUAUUCUAACACAAGGAAACUGAGUCGCAAAAAAGGGAAACUGAGUCACCACAGGUGUAGCAGAGGAAAGGACUGACUUUGCCUUCUGAUCAGAGGCAUACAUUGCUGUCUCUCACAAAGCUGAAGAAUCCAAUCAAGAUCUAAACCUUAUGUAGCUAUAAAAAGCUAGAGAGAGGAAGAAAGAGGAAAUUCCCAGGAGAAGAUCCCCAACCACAUCCAGGGCCAUCAGAUCUCCAUAAAUACAAACCCCAGCAGUGGCACCAAGUGAAGCAUGAGAAGAAACCUCAAGAUUUUAACCCAAGCCACAGAAAUAACUUUGAAUUGUCUUAAAACUAAACAAUGACAAUUCUAUCCAAUAAACUUGCAGCUGACACAUG
Canis lupus familiaris (dog) is the source of this 1921-nucleotide long non-coding RNA. RefSeq lists it as uncharacterized. The record is from RefSeq and is a predicted model, not a curated record. NCBI's taxonomy places the organism in Eukaryota, Metazoa, Chordata, Mammalia, Carnivora, Canidae. The transcript has 5 exons.